Molecule: ribosomal RNA, 253 nt
Filed under: uncultured bacterium
Lineage: Bacteria
Description: partial 16S ribosomal RNA
Rfam family: Bacterial small subunit ribosomal RNA
Source: RNAcentral
UACGUAGGGUGCGAGCGUUGUCCGGAAUUAUUGGGCGUAAAGAGCUCGUAGGCGGUCUGUUGCGUCGGCUGUGAAAACCCGGGGCUCAACUCCGGGCCUGCAGCCGAUACGGGCAGACUAGAGUUCGGCAGGGGAGACUGGAAUUCCUGGUGUAGCGGUGAAAUGCGCAGAUAUCAGGAGGAACACCGGUGGCGAAGGCGGGUCUCUGGGCCGAUACUGACGCUGAGGAGCGAAAGCGUGGGGAGCGAACGGG